Molecule: long non-coding RNA, 4800 nt
Filed under: Heterocephalus glaber (naked mole-rat)
Lineage: Eukaryota; Metazoa; Chordata; Mammalia; Rodentia; Bathyergidae
Description: lncRNA (ENSHGLG00100046903.1)
Source: RNAcentral
AAGCCACACUGAUGACACUCAAGUUAUGGAUUAAAUUCUCACCUGAGUAAGGAAGCAACGUUCUUAUUUAUAGACACACACUGAAAACACAAUCCAUGAAAGACAUUGAGGUCAUAGGAAAGACUGAAUGGUAAGGCAAAUAUUACAACUCAGAGCAUUGAUGGGGAAAGAUUAGGUGUUAUAUCAAAUGUGGAAUCUUGUAAUGAUAGAGUUGUAGACUUGGAAGUGAUUUGAGAAAUAACUUUUUCCAUUCUUUUGCCUAGCUUGGUAACACCACUUAACCGUUCUGACAGACGGUUGGGGAUGUCCAGAGUUGAGAAACUUACUACCUGGUGUGGUAGUUUGGUCCACGACCAGAAACUGCAUGUGUGGGAAGGUCAGGGGGCAGGUCUGAGGUGAAAGCUCAACUUCUUCAUCUCUAAUGUCUCUAAACCUAGCCUGAUCUUAAACUUUGAUCCCAGAAACCCAAGGAGCACUAUAUGACUGUUUCCUGCAGAGUUGUUUAAGGCUACGGUGGCAGUAACAUGAGGAGAGAAAAAGACUGCAUCUGAUUUUCCAGUGAUUGCCUUGUGCACAGGAAAAUGGGAGAUAAUCAUUGGGAAAACAUGGCAGACGCCAAGCUGUGAGUUGGCUGGUGGACAAAUCUGCAUGACAAGCUACCAAAGAGGCCCCCAGCCAACAGCCAUCUGGGAUCUGAGGACCUCAGUCCACCGGCCUUGGAGGACCCAUGGGUGAACCUGACAGCAGACCACCUCCCUGCAGAGCCUGCAGAUGAGAGCACAGCCCUGGCCAGCCUUGAUGGCAGCCUCUUGGGAACCCUGGAGCCAGCAGACCCUGCUAAGCCACAUUUGCAGUCCUGACCACAAUUAUCAAUGAUGAAAAUGACCAUAGAUGCGGAUUUCGAUGAAGUUUCAUGACACCUGGAUCCAAAAACAGAACAGUGCCAGUAUCCUAGGAGCUCUCUGACGUCUCUCCUCCAGGUGUAACCACCAUCCUGACUUUGAAUUUUGUAGAUCAGCUUUGCCUAUUUUGGUCACUAAAUGAAUAGAACCAUGUUACAGUAUGUACUUUUUAAUGUCUGGCUUCCUUUUCUAUAUUAGGUGGCAGUUCUUUUGUAUUAUAAUAUUUUAUACCAUAUGUAUUUUAUAAAUACAUAUUUAUUUUAUUGUGCAUAUUUAUUUUAAUCUCCACAUGUUAAUUGUACAAAUAUGCCACAUUUUAUUUGUCCAUUCUAUUAUAGCAUAUUUUAAAACAUAUUCCUAGGAGUGGAAUGAGUAGUUUAUUCUGUGCAUUCUUACUUAGUAGAUAAUGCUAAAUAGUUUUCCAAAGGGAUUUCCACCUUACCAGUCAUGCCCAAGGUCAAUCUUAUAUUGCAUUAUUUCAGCAGGAUUCUUUGUCAAUUCUCAGUUCAGCACAGGACCAAGGAUGCCAUGGUAUUUUAAUGGCAUACUUUAUUGCUAAUUCUACUAGCAAUAAGAAGAAUAAGGUGAUCUUUUGAAUACUUACUUGUUUGGAGUACUAGUUUUCAGAAUGCAAGAUAGAGCCAGCACUUCAUUGAGUGUGAUUACUUUACAUAUACUGAGCAUUAACAGGAUGAAACAUUAGCAGCUAGUUAGAAUACAUAGAAUCCAUGUUGUCCUUAAAUUAGACUUUUUAAAAAAUAGCCAGGAUUAAGGAAAAAAAUCAAAGUCUAAAGCUUUUAUCUUAUGUUUCCAAUAUGGAGGUUAUUUAAGUGAGCCUGGAUUUUUUAAAGCUUAAAUUUCAUGGAUAAUGGCCUUUAUUUUCUGGAUAACAUUGCUAGCAAAGGUACCACUGAAGCCUAUUGCUUUCCACAAUAGAGAAAGCUUUUAUUGUAUUAUACCUAUUAUUCAAUUUCAUGUCAUAAUAAUAUUUUGUUGAUCUACAUGGGUUUUUAGCUUUGUGCACUUGAUAAAGUUAAUCGGAAUAUUACCAAAGAUACCCAGCAUUUCUUUGUAAUGAUCAGCACAAAAGGGGGAUUCCUUUAUUGGAGCUAUAAUUUUUGAAUUCAUGGUUAUAGCUAAGACAAAAGAACAAUUUUUAUGAGCUCAGCCUGUUUCUAUAAUAAUAGUAAAGUAGCAAGAAGCAAGUUUGGCAAUAAUAGGACUACACCCUGGGCACUUCUGCUUCAAUGGGCUGCGUGUGGGUGGAAAAUGCAUGGUGGGGCGUGUCCUUGUCAUCUGAAAGUCCCAGUGAGGUACGGAUGUCCAAAUAUGAAGUAUGGAUACUGUCAACCACGGGGUUGUGCCAGCAACAGCAAAAGAUAAGUGAAUGAGAAUUUUCUAUUUGUACACUGAAUGUCCCUGUAACUCAAAGAGAAUUCUUUUCUCUCUGAUUUGAGCAAAUUUAGACAGUGGGCAAGAAUAGCAUGAAAAAAUUACAAUCAGACUGAGAAUCUUAAUGAGGCAGAUUUUAAAUGAUUAUAAAAUUAUCGCUCUUUCCACUGACAGAUGAGCUCACAUUCCCUUUCCUCUUCAAUAUACCGAGUCUUCCGUGGUCCCUGCCCACAGUGAUUUCUUGACUGCCCAAAGUUUAGCUGUUAGGAGCUUGUGUGUCACAUACUUCCAUCAGUGUCUCGCUGGGACAGCCUCCACUUCUACUUUUCCCACUUGGGCCCUGGAUCAUCUCAUUUCCAUUAUGAACCCCGCUGUGGCUGCACCCCAAGUCUCACACUGUCCUCACUUGUCUUGAGUUAGGCCUUCCACUCCAUCUCUUUAGGCCCUGCUCUCCUUGACCCACUCAUAGUCUUUCGUUCUCUAUCCAGUUCCUUGCUUAGACCUUCUAACAGCUGUACUUCGCAAUGCAGCUCGGAAAUAACAAAUUGCAACUCUGAGACAUUUGCAACUCUAGCCGGUGCCUUUGUUUCCGGCCCUCCCUCUGCUUGCUGGCCUCUCACCUUCUCCUCACCAAGCUAAUCGGGCCCAGACUUCCUCUUCCCUUUAGGUUGUUACACAAAUUCUUCUCUGUCGCUCUCGAGCUCAUCCUCUAUUCUUAACUCAAGAUUCAAUCUAGCUCUUUCCUCUUUUGUUCUUGGAGACACAGGAGAAGACUUUUCUAGGCAUCCUUGAUGCUCUGGGCAUGUCUCUGUUAUUAUGCCCAUCGUAAUGUACUUUGUCUGCUUCUACAUUUUCAUUCUUCUCUGCCUCUGGGAAGGGACAAUGGACUUUUCACGAUAGAAUCCAUAGCCUCAAGAAUGACGCCUGAAGCAUGCAUGGAUGGAUAGUUGGAAAAAAGGAUGGAUAGACAACUGGAACACUGGGUGUUUGGUUGAAGAGUAGGGGGUAUGGCUGAAUGGUAGGAAAAUGAAUUGAUGAAUGCUUUAUAAUAACUGUAGAUGAAUGUUCAUUAAAAAAUGACCUUCUGCCUGGGGUUUUGUAAUUUUUAAUUGCCAAUGAGUCUAGCAUGAAGUCUGUUUCCCUACAUCCCUUUUAUAAACCAGUACACAUUUUUAUUUGUUAUUAUUCUGCAGCUCUUCAAAGAGUCUUGAGUUGGUCUUAAGUCAGCGUUCCUAAAACUUCAAGGAGACAAGAGAUUAAAGAACAUAUGAAAAAUGUUAUUCUAAAACCAGAGUUUGUUUUUAUGCUCAUUCCCAUCCUGGCUUGACUUCCAAUGAUAUGCAGUUUCCUAGCCCUUAUUAGGUUCUUCAUUAAGCACUUACAGGUACUUCUUUCAUAAAGUUGAUGAGGUGAGGUUAUUUGAAAAAAAUACAAUGUCUGUCUAUCUAUGUCUCUAUCUGUUUGUCAGGUGUUGUUUUUAAGGUUGGUUUUAUAUAUUUCCUGGAAUGAGCUUGUAGAAACAAGUGUUGUUAUCUAUCUUUUUUCUUGAAGCUCCAAGCACAAAUAAGGAUGUGUUCAAAAACCACUUAGCAGAGGCAGACACUAGAACUCACAGUCUCUGUUGCUAACUGGGGCAUACUUCUUAGCACCCUUGUAAAAUAUGAUUUUUAAGCCACCACAUUUGUGCUGGUCAGCAUUCUGUUACUGCAACAAAUACCUGAGAUAAUCAAUUUGUAAAGAGAAAAGGUUUGUUUUGGGUCAUGUUUUGGAGGUUUCAGCCCACGGUUGACUGAACUUACUACUUCUGAGCCUGUGGCAGUGCAGUACAUCAUGUAGGGCACAUGACCUAGUGAGGCCAUUCUCCUCAUGGUCAGAAAGUGAAAGACCAUCUUCUUCAAGGGCAUCUCUCCAGUGACCUGAUGACCAGCUGCUGGGCCACCUCCUCCUAAGGUUCUGCCACCUCCCGGCAGUGACACGCAGGGGACUAAACCUUAACACAUGAGACCUUAGGGGGACACUCCGGACCCAGACUGCAGCAGCAUCAAUAUACAGUGCAGAAUCACAGCUGUUGCAGGGGAAGGGCUGGUUCUAAGGCAAGUGACAAACUGGUUUCAUCAGGUGUGCCAAGUCAGUUAACAGCCAGUGUUCACUCCUGUGCAGAUGCAAACAUAAUCAGAUUAACUUUAUUUUAAGCAUCUAUUAUAUUGUCAUUAACAUGAAUGUACCUGUUCUAAGUUAAGUGCCGAAUCAACUCCAAGUCAGUUGGUGGUUGCUACACGGAGCGGGGAAGGACUCUGAGGCUCUGUCUGAGUUGUAAUUAUUCAGCGAGGUCCACCAUGGACAUAGGGUCUCCUGUAUACACUUGCUACAUGUUUUCCCUCCCUGCUGGAAGUCCACACCAGGUAUUCAUUGUGAUCAGUCCCCCUGCUGGCUCUCCACUGAUUUACUCCGACAGUUGACAAGGUCGUUUAUGGGAAAAUGUUCAUGGAGAUUUUUCUGUUUCUGG